UUGGAUCCGGAGGGACUCUUGCCGUAAAACCCCCAAUUUUCCAAAGGUUGACCUCGGAUCAGGUAGGAAUACCCGCUGAACUUAAGCAUAUCAAUAAGCGGAGGAAAAGAAACCAACAGGGAUUGCCCCAGUAACGGCGAGUGAAGCGGCAACAGCUCAAAUUUGAAAUCUGGCCCCAGGCCCGAGUUGUAAUUUGCAGAGGAUGCUUUUGGUGCGGUGCCUUCCAAGUUCCCUAGAACGGGACGCCAGAGAGGGUGAGAGCCCCGUACAGUUGGACACCAAGCCUUUGUAAAGCUCCUUCGACGAGUCGAGUAGUUUGGGAAUGCUGCUCAAAAUGGGAGGUAUAUUUCUUCUAAAGCUAAAUACCGGCCAGAGACCGAUAGCGCACAAGUAGAGUGAUCGAAAGAUGAAAAGCACUUUGAAAAGAGGGUUAAACAGCACGUGAAAUUGUUAAAAGGGAAGCGCUUGUGACCAGACUUGCGUCCGGUGAAUCACCCAGCUCUCGCGGCUGGGGCACUUCGCCGGCUCAGGCCAGCAUCAGCUCGCUGUCGGGGACAAAAGCUUCAGGAACGUAGCUCUCUUCGGGGAGUGUUAUAGCCUGUUGCAUAAUACCCUUCGGCGGGCUGAGGUACGCGCUCCGCAAGGAUGCUGGCAUAAUGGUCAUCAGCGACCCGUCUUGAAACACGGACCAAGGAGUCAACCUUAUGUGCGAGUGUUCGGGUGUCAAACCCCUACGCGUAAUGAAAGUGAACGCAGGUGAGAGCUUCGGCGCAUCAUCGACCGAUC
Molecule: ribosomal RNA, 786 nt
Filed under: Colletotrichum gloeosporioides
Lineage: Eukaryota; Fungi; Ascomycota; Sordariomycetes; Glomerellales; Glomerellaceae
Description: eukaryotic LSU rRNA
Rfam family: Eukaryotic large subunit ribosomal RNA
Source: RNAcentral